This 68-nucleotide small RNA is filed under the name human gut metagenome. The record is from RNAcentral.
CUGCAACCGCACAAAAGUGGUUUUCAAGUAUAUUUUAAAUAUCACCAUCCUGGCGUGUCUUAAUAUUU